Molecule: small nucleolar RNA, 95 nt
Organism: Phragmites australis (common reed)
Lineage: Eukaryota; Viridiplantae; Streptophyta; Magnoliopsida; Poales; Poaceae
Product: small nucleolar RNA SNORD96 family
Exons: 1
Source: RefSeq, a predicted model, not a curated record
UGGCCGGUGAUGAAAACUUCUGAUAAAAACACCAUCUUUCGGGACUGAUUGGCCCACUGUGUGGCCAUGCUGCAUAUUCUGCAAUACUGAGGCCA